Molecule: transfer RNA, 72 nt
Filed under: Camelus ferus (Wild Bactrian camel)
Lineage: Eukaryota; Metazoa; Chordata; Mammalia; Artiodactyla; Camelidae
Rfam family: tRNA
About the family: Transfer RNA (tRNA) molecules are approximately 80 nucleotides in length.
Source: Rfam by way of RNAcentral
GAGGGUAUAGCUCAGUGGUAGAGUGCAUGCUUAGCAUGUGCAAGGUCCUGGGUUCAAUCCCCAGUACCUCUA